GGGGCUGCAAUACAGAUGUAAGCCCACCUGGAAUAACGGCCAAAGUAACUUGAGAAGACUUUGCCAAUUUUUUUAUGUCAUCAGAUGUGUGGGCUCUGAACAUAUCCCAAACUAGCAAUGAUGGUUUUUUCUUUAAGGCUGCUCCUGGUCGUCUGUUCCAAAUUUCUUCCAGCCAUUUUUUUGUUUCGUCUUCAUCCAUCCAGCCUUUAACAUGUGCGCGCACUGUAAUUCGUGGUGGGAAUUUUACCUUUUUAGGC
Molecule: non-coding RNA, 257 nt
Organism: Pelobates cultripes (western spadefoot toad)
Lineage: Eukaryota; Metazoa; Chordata; Amphibia; Anura; Pelobatidae
Source: the annotation of a GenBank genome assembly